Molecule: transfer RNA, 75 nt
Filed under: Pseudothermotoga thermarum DSM 5069
Lineage: Bacteria; Thermotogati; Thermotogota; Thermotogae; Thermotogales; Thermotogaceae
Description: tRNA-Gly (CCC) (tRNA-Gly-CCC-1-1)
Rfam family: tRNA
About the family: Transfer RNA (tRNA) molecules are approximately 80 nucleotides in length. Their secondary structure includes four short double-helical elements and three loops (D, anti-codon, and T loops).
Source: RNAcentral
GCGGGCGUAGCUCAGCGGUAGAGCAUCAGCUUCCCAAGCUGAGGGUCGCGGGUUCGACCCCCGUCGCCCGCUCCA